This 253-nucleotide ribosomal RNA is filed under the name uncultured bacterium. RNAcentral describes it as "partial 16S ribosomal RNA". It matches the Rfam family "Bacterial small subunit ribosomal RNA", at positions 524 to 776 of the family's 1533-position model. The record is from RNAcentral.
UACGGGGGGAGCAAACGUUGUUCGGAAUCACUGGGCGUAAAGGGCGUGUAGGCGGCUGGAUAAGUGGGAUGUUAAAUCCCCCGGCUCAACCGGGGACCUGCAUCUCAUACUGUUCAGCUCGAGCACAUCAGAGGAGACUGGAAUUCCCGGUGUAGCGGUGAAAUGCGUAGAUAUCAGGAGGAACACCGGUGGCGAAGGCGGGUCUCUGGGCCGAUACUGACGCUGAGGAGCGAAAGCGUGGGGAGCGAACAGG